This 759-nucleotide ribosomal RNA is filed under the name uncultured eukaryote. RNAcentral's name for it is "bacterial SSU rRNA". It matches the Rfam family "Eukaryotic small subunit ribosomal RNA", at positions 659 to 1427 of the family's 1831-position model. The record is from RNAcentral.
UGGUCUUGCUCUCAGUACCGCCGUCCUCUAUCCAGCUUCUGCCAGGCUCAGUGAUUCGUGUUCGCUGGUCUGCUGCCGAAGAAUAACUGGAGUUUACCAUGAGCAAAUCAGAGUGUUCAAAGCAGGCUUUUAUGCCUGAAUGUUAAAGCAUGGAAUAAUAAAACACGCCGCGUGCGUUAGUUUGUUGGUUUCUAACGCCCGAGAAUGAUGAAGAGGAACGGUUGGGGGCUUUUGUAUUUGGGCGCUAGAGGUGAAAUUCUUGGAUUGCCCAAAGACAAACUACUGCGAAAGCAUUAGACCCAGGACGUUUCCAUUGAUCAAGGGCUAAAGUCAGGGGAUCGAAGACGAUUAGAUACCGUCGUAGUCCUGGCCAUAAACGAUGCCGACUAGGGAUUGGAUUGGUCUAAUGCCAAUUCAGCACCUUAGCGAAAGUAAAGUUUUUAGGUUCUGGGGGGAGUAUGGGACGCAAGGCUGAAACUUAAAGGAAUUGACGGAAGGGCACCACCAGGAGUGGAGCCUGCGGCUUAAUUUGACUCAACACGGGGAAACUCACCAGGUCCAGACAUAAGAAGGAUUGACAGAUUGAAAGCUCUUUCAUGAUUUUAUGGGUGGUGGUGCAUGGGCCGUCCUUAGUUCGUGGAGUGAUUUGUCUGGUUAAUUCCGAUAACGAACGAGACCUUGAUCCAAUACUACCUGGCUUGAUCUUUUGAUCAAGGCUACAUCCUUUCGGGGAUCCAGGUUCUUUUGGAGACUAUUUGG